GCGGGAGGAAGGGCGGCCGCUCCGACCGCAAGGACGGAGAGGAAAGUCCAGACAGCAGAGAGCAGGGUGCCCGGCGCAAGCCGGGGCCGGGUAACCGGUGGCAGAGCCACAGAGACCAAUGCCCUGCGCAAUCAGGGAGUGAAAAGGGUAAUCCCCCCCCGCUGCAACCCGAAGCAUGGCUGUUGACGCUGCUCGCCGAGGCCAGGGUACGGGGCACCCCGAUUCGUCGGGGCGGUUCGCUCUUACGAACCGAGACAGAUGGUCGCCAUCAACAGAAUCUGGCUUACUCUCCUCCCGCGCUC
This 302-nucleotide RNase P RNA is filed under the name Chloroflexota bacterium. RNAcentral's name for it is "Chloroflexi bacterium (freshwater metagenome) RNase P RNA component class A". It matches the Rfam family "Bacterial RNase P class A". From Rfam's summary of the family: Ribonuclease P (RNase P) is a ubiquitous endoribonuclease, found in archaea, bacteria and eukarya as well as chloroplasts and mitochondria. Lineage: Bacteria; Bacillati; Chloroflexota. The record is from RNAcentral.